AGAUUGAACGCUGGCGGCGUGCUUAACACAUGCAAGUCGAGCGGCAGCGCGGUAGCAAUACUGGCGGCGAGCGGCGAACGGGUGAGUAAUGCUUCGGAAUCUACCUUGUAGUGGGGAAUAACCUGGGGAAACUCAGGCUAAUACCGCAUACGUCUUUCGAGAGAAAGCGGGGGAUCGCAAGACCUCGCGCUAUUAGAUGAGCCGAAGUCGGAUUAGCUAGUUGGUAGGGUAACGGCCUACCAAGGCGACAAUCCGUAGCUGGUCUGAGAGGACGACCAGCCACACUGGGACUGAGACACGGCCCAGACUCCUACGGGAGGCAGCAGUGGGAAUAUUGGACAAUGGGGGAAACCCUGAUCCAGCGACGCCGCGUGUGUGAAGAAGGCCUGCGGGUUGUAAAGCUACGUUUAGUGGGAUGAAACGCUCAGACCUAACACGUCUGGAAUUGAACCUAACCAAAGAAAAAGCAACCGGCUAACUCUAGUCGCCAGCAGCCGACGUAA
Molecule: ribosomal RNA, 503 nt
Filed under: uncultured soil bacterium
Lineage: Bacteria
Description: bacterial SSU rRNA
Rfam family: Bacterial small subunit ribosomal RNA
Source: RNAcentral